RNAcentral lists this long non-coding RNA (219 nucleotides) under Lathyrus oleraceus (garden pea). RNAcentral's name for it is "Pisum sativum (pea) long non-coding RNA (PSAT_LNC002087)". The record is from RNAcentral. Lineage: Eukaryota; Viridiplantae; Streptophyta; Magnoliopsida; Fabales; Fabaceae.
GAGCACUCACCUCUUCAGACUAUACUUAUACUUGUGGGGCAAAUAACUUUGUGAAAGCUCUUAAAAUAUAUAAACAAAUAAAAACAACACACAAAAUUUUAGGAGAAAAAAUGGCAAAAAGAUUUGGUCUCACGUGGCUUUGGAUAAGGAAUACUAAGUAACUACUUUCAAAUCUUUUAUUUUAAAAAAAAAUAUUAAUUUAAAAUAAAAAACUAUAAA